RNAcentral lists this ribosomal RNA (642 nucleotides) under Triticum aestivum (bread wheat). RNAcentral's name for it is "partial small subunit ribosomal RNA". The record is from RNAcentral. Lineage: Eukaryota; Viridiplantae; Streptophyta; Magnoliopsida; Poales; Poaceae.
AUGGCGCAUGCAAGCAUUGAGCUACCCUCGGCGACUCCAGUCGCAAAGGCUUUCAUCCACCUCGAUGAGCCAAAAGCACACGCUCUUCUCGGCGAUGGCUUCGGGAAGGACAAGGCUACGGGGUGGUGCCUCGACACCGGCGCCACCCACCACAUGACCGGUCGAAGGGAAUUCUUCGCCGAGCUCGACUCCGAUGCGCGAGGCUCCGUCAAGUUCGGGGAUGCCUCCGCUGUGGAGAUAAAGGGCGUCGGCUCCGUCAUCUUCACCACCAAGAUGGGAGAGCAUCGGCUGCUCACCGGUGUCUACUACAUCCCCGCGCUAAGGAAUUCCAUCAUCAGCUUGGGACAGCUGGAUGAGAACGGCUCACGCGUGCUGAUUGAGCAUGGGGUCCUACGCAUCUGGGAUCGCCAGCGUCGCCUUCUCGCCAAGGUGCCCAGAGGUGAAAAUCGACUCUACGUCCUUGAUGUGCAGGUGGCACAACCGGUCUGUCUCGCUGUCCGUCGAGACGACGAGGCGUGGCAGUGGCAUGAGCGCUUUGGGCACCUUCACUUUGAGGCCCUGAAGCGUCUAAGUGCCAAGGAGAUGGUGCGAGGCCUGCCAUGCCUCGACCAUGUGGAGCAGUUCUGCGAGUUUUCGGGCUAA